This 23-nucleotide non-coding RNA is filed under the name Arabidopsis thaliana (thale cress). The record is from RNAcentral. Lineage: Eukaryota; Viridiplantae; Streptophyta; Magnoliopsida; Brassicales; Brassicaceae.
GUAUCCGCUAACCUGAAAUUCCU